AUGGAGCACCGGUUUAGUGAAGGAGCAAAUUGUGUGCUUGAUUGCUUCUCAUGUCUUGACCCCAAGGACUCUUUCUCCAAGUUCAAUGUUGAUAAACUUGCUCAUCUUGCUGAAAUUUAUCAUGAAGACUUCUCUAAUGAUGAUCGUGGAACAAUAAGAGAGCAGCUCCUCACUUAUACUAUAAGUCAAGUGAAAAGGCAUGCUUCUUUUUCUACUUGUGAUGAUGUUCAAAGUUUGGCCAUGAAGAUGGUUGAAACUAAGAAAAAUCUGGUAUUUCCAUUGGUAUACAAGCUUAUUGGUAUACAAACAUCUGUUGAGAGAGCAUUUUCAGCAAUGAAGAUUAUCAAGAAUAAAUUGCGUAGCAAGAUCAACAACGAAUGGUUCAACGACUUGAUGAUAUGUUACACUGAGCGCGAGUUAUUCAAGUCAGUUGAUGAUAAGGAUAUUAUCCGAACAUUUACAGCAAUGAAGUCUCGGAAAGGACAUUUGCCUCGUGAUUUUCAUUAG
RNAcentral lists this ribosomal RNA (507 nucleotides) under Triticum aestivum (bread wheat). RNAcentral's name for it is "partial small subunit ribosomal RNA". The record is from RNAcentral. Lineage: Eukaryota; Viridiplantae; Streptophyta; Magnoliopsida; Poales; Poaceae.